This 468-nucleotide ribosomal RNA is filed under the name uncultured bacterium. RNAcentral's name for it is "partial 16S ribosomal RNA". It matches the Rfam family "Bacterial small subunit ribosomal RNA", at positions 28 to 507 of the family's 1533-position model. The record is from RNAcentral.
GACGAACGCUGGCGGCGUGCUUAACACAUGCCAGUCGAACGGAAAGGCCCUGCUUUUGUGGGGUGCUCGAGUGGCGAACGGGUGAGUAACACGUGAGUAACCUGCCCUUGACUUUGGGAUAACUUCAGGAAACUGGGGCUAAUACCGGAUAGGAGCUCCUGCUGCAUGGUGGGGGUUGGAAAGUUUCGGCGGUUGGGGAUGGACUCGCGGCUUAUCAGCUUGUUGGUGGGGUAGUGGCUUACCAAGGCUUUGACGGGUAGCCGGCCUGGGAGGGUGACCGGCCACAUUGGGACUGAGAUACGGCCCAGCCUCCUACGGGAGGCAGCAGUGGGGAAUAUUGCACAAUGGGCGGAAGCCUGAUGCAGCAACGCCGCGGGCGGGAUGACGGCCUGCGGGUUGUAAACCGCUUUCGCCUGAGACGAAGCGUGAGUGACGGUAAUGGGUAAAGAAGCACCGGCUAACUACGUG